Long non-coding RNA from Phragmites australis (common reed), 726 nucleotides. RefSeq lists it as uncharacterized. The record is from RefSeq and is a predicted model, not a curated record. The transcript has 4 exons. NCBI's taxonomy places the organism in Eukaryota, Viridiplantae, Streptophyta, Magnoliopsida, Poales, Poaceae.
CAGGACAGAGCUGUGCCGUUUCAGUGGCGCUAAGAUCUACCCCGGGAAGGGUAUCAGAUUUAUCCGUGCAGAUUCACAGGUGUUCCUCUUCUCGAAUUCGAAGUGCAAGCGCUACUUCCACACCCGUCUGAAGCCAGCCAAGCUCACAUGGACAGCCAUGCAUAGGAAGCAGCACAAGAAGGCAAGGGAGCUGGCCGAUCGGUGAUAUUUUGUUGACAUUCAUGCUGAAGCUGUUAAGAAGAGACGCCGCACCACCAAGAAGCCAUACUCCAGGUCCAUUGUUGGCGCCACCCUUGAAGUCAUCCAGAAGAAAAUAACUGAGGAGCCAGAGGUUCGCGAUGCAGCUAGGGAAGCUGCCCUUCGAUGGAAAGAUCAUGGGUGUACGAUGCGCCAAGACGUGGAGAAAUAUACAUCAAAGGACACUCUGCUUUUUAUUGAAGCUACCGAGAAGGACGCUUUGACUAAGAAGACAAAGGAAAUAUACUAUCCAUGUUCUGACUGCAAGAACUAGAAAUUGUGGGACAAAUCAAGCAUAAUCAAAUCACACUUGAUCUUGUGAGGUUUUGUCGAGGAUUACACAUGUUGGUCCAAUCACGGCGAACAACGUACAUGCGAACCAAACGACGACAUCGCUGCUGAUCAAGUGGAUGGUGAUGAUGAGUGAGUCGAAGGCAACACUGAUGUUAUGAUGGAUGAUGAUAUCGAUUUUGAUCUGGAGGAAAUAUU